GUCAAGACAUCAAGGAAACCCUACAACCAGAAGUUUGCGGAGCUAAAUGGCAAUGACAUAUUCAAAGGUGAUGCUCCUCUAGGUUCAGCGGAGAAACCACUGAGCGUGGCAAAGUUGAGGGAGAUGAACGGUAGUGACAUCUUUGCUGAUGGUAAGGCUCCCAACAGGGACUACCUUGGUGGCGUCCGUAAACCCCCUGGCGGCGAGAGCAGCAUCGCGCUGGUUUGACUGUUUAUUGACAUAAUUUGUCUUUCG
RNAcentral lists this unclassified non-coding RNA (255 nucleotides) under Hevea brasiliensis (rubber tree). Lineage: Eukaryota; Viridiplantae; Streptophyta; Magnoliopsida; Malpighiales; Euphorbiaceae. The record is from RNAcentral.